Molecule: ribosomal RNA, 346 nt
Filed under: uncultured Leptolinea sp.
Lineage: Bacteria; Bacillati; Chloroflexota; Anaerolineae; Anaerolineales; Anaerolineaceae
Description: bacterial SSU rRNA
Rfam family: Bacterial small subunit ribosomal RNA
Source: RNAcentral
CGGGAGCUUGCACAGGUGCUGCAUGGCUGUCGUCAGCUCGUGUCGUGAGAUGUUCGGUUAAGUCCGCUAACGAGCGCAACCCUCGCUGUGUGUUAUAUGUAUCACACGGGACUGCCGGUCUUAAGCCGGAGGAAGGUGGGGAUGAUGUCAAGUCAGCAUGGCCUUUAUAUCCUGGGCUACACACACGCUACAAUGGCCAACACAAUAGGUUGCUAAGCCGCGAGGUGGCGCCAAUACCAUAAAGUUGGUCUCAGUUCAGAUUGUAGGCUGCAACCCGCCUGCAUGAAGAUGGAGUUGCUAGUAACCGCAGGUCAGCUAUACUGCGGUGAAUACGUUCCCGGGGCUU